RNAcentral lists this ribosomal RNA (288 nucleotides) under uncultured eukaryote. Its description in RNAcentral is "partial large subunit ribosomal RNA". It matches the Rfam family "Eukaryotic large subunit ribosomal RNA", at positions 40 to 323 of the family's 3401-position model. The record is from RNAcentral.
AUAUCAAUAAGCGGAGGAAGAGAAACCAACCGGGAUUGCCCUAGUAACGGCGAGUGAAGCGGUAACAGCUCAAAUUUGAAAUCUGGCCUCGCAGGGGGUCAGAGUUGUAAUUUGCAGAAGAUGCUUCUGGGCGUGGACCGGGUCCAAGUGCCUUGGAACAGGACGUCGCAGAGGGUGAGAACCCCGUACCUGGCCCGGUGCCCGCGCACUUGCGAAGCUUUUCGACGAGUCGAGUUGUUUGGGAAUGCAGCUCAAAAUGGGUGGUAAAUUUCAUCCAAAGCUAAAUAA